GCGGACGUGGCGAAAUCGGUAGACGCAGCGGACUUAAAAUCCGCCUCCCCCUGGGAAUAUGGGUUCAAGUCCCAUCGUCCGCA
Sphingobium sp. AP49 is the source of this 83-nucleotide non-coding RNA. The record is from Rfam. Lineage: Bacteria; Pseudomonadati; Pseudomonadota; Alphaproteobacteria; Sphingomonadales; Sphingobiaceae.